UAGCCGUAAACGAUACUCGCUAGGUGUCGGCCACGGUGCGACCGUUGUCGGUGCCGUAGGGAAGCCGUGAAGCGAGCCACCUGGGAAGUACGGCCGCAAGGCUGAAACUUAAAGGAAUUGGCGGGGGAGCACCACAACGGGUGGAGCUUGCGGUUUAAUUGGAUUCAACGCCGGAAAUCUUACCGGGACCGACAGCAUCAUGAAGGCCAGGCUGAAGACUUUGCCGGAUUAGCUGAGAGGUGGUGCAUGGCGUAGUCGUGU
RNAcentral lists this ribosomal RNA (261 nucleotides) under uncultured archaeon. RNAcentral's name for it is "partial 16S ribosomal RNA". It matches the Rfam family "Archaeal small subunit ribosomal RNA", at positions 748 to 1009 of the family's 1478-position model. The record is from RNAcentral.